CCUACGGGAGGCAGCAGUAAGGAAUAUUGGUCAAUGGACGCAAGUCUGAACCAGCCAUGCCGCGUGCAGGAAGACGGCCCUACGGGUUGUAAACUGCUUUUGUACCGGAAUAAACCUUUGGUCGUGACCGAAGCUGAAUGUACGGUAAGAAUAAGGAUCGGCUAACUCCGUGCCAGCAGCCGCGGUAAUACGGAGGAUCCAAGCGUUAUCCGGAUUUAUUGGGUUUAAAGGGUGCGUAGGUGGCCUAUUAAGUCAGGGGUGAAAGACGGUAGCUUAACUAUCGCAGUGCCUUUGAUACUGAUGGGCUUGAAUACACUUGAGGUAGGCGGAAUGUGACAAGUAGCGGUGAAAUGCAUAGAUAUGUCACAGAACACCAAUUGCGAAGGCAGCUUACUAAAGUGUUAUUGACACUGAGGCACGAAAGCGUGGGGAUCAAACAGGAUUAGAUACCCCAGUAGUC
This 460-nucleotide ribosomal RNA is filed under the name uncultured Sphingobacteriaceae bacterium. RNAcentral describes it as "bacterial SSU rRNA". It matches the Rfam family "Bacterial small subunit ribosomal RNA", at positions 338 to 795 of the family's 1533-position model. Lineage: Bacteria; Pseudomonadati; Bacteroidota; Sphingobacteriia; Sphingobacteriales; Sphingobacteriaceae. The record is from RNAcentral.